UACGGAGGAUCCGAGCGUUAUCCGGAUUUAUUGGGUUUAAAGGGUGCGUAGGCGGUUUGAUAAGUUAGAGGUGAAAUGUCGGGGCUCAACCCCGAAACUGCCUCUAAUACUGUUGGACUAGAGAAUAGUUGCGGUAGGCGGAAUGUAUAGUGUAGCGGUGAAAUGCUUAGAGAUCAUACAGAACACCGAUUGCGAAGGCAGCUUACCAAACUAUAUCUGACGUUGAGGCACGAAAGCGUGGGUAGCAAACAGG
This 253-nucleotide unclassified non-coding RNA is filed under the name uncultured Rikenellaceae bacterium. Its description in RNAcentral is "contains 16S-23S intergenic spacer region". It matches the Rfam family "Bacterial small subunit ribosomal RNA", at positions 524 to 776 of the family's 1533-position model. Lineage: Bacteria; Pseudomonadati; Bacteroidota; Bacteroidia; Bacteroidales; Rikenellaceae. The record is from RNAcentral.